RNAcentral lists this ribosomal RNA (2313 nucleotides) under Glossina austeni. RNAcentral's name for it is "eukaryotic LSU rRNA". The stretch from base 1195 to 2119 matches the Rfam family "Eukaryotic large subunit ribosomal RNA", at positions 1891 to 3399 of the family's 3401-position model. The record is from RNAcentral. Lineage: Eukaryota; Metazoa; Arthropoda; Insecta; Diptera; Glossinidae.
UAUCUUGCCAUAGUCCGACAACAUUCGACACAGAGAAAGUGAGGAGAGAUCUGUUCUAUCCAAGGCGCUGCCAGCCUACCAGGCACAACAUAUUAUGUCACUAUUUAUCUCCCUAUAGUUAUAUUAUGUUAAUAUACACUCUGUAUACUGUAUACUGUGGACUAAGGAUGUAUUGUGCUUCAACAUAUUCUUAAAAUGUUUAUAGUAUAACCAAGGACAAUGAAGAAAAAUAUGUAAUAAAAAACAUAGCGUGAUAGUGAUUAAUAAAAAAAAAAAGAAAAUGCAAAUGUCCCGUCAUCUAAUUAGUGACGCGCAUGAAUGGAUUAACGAGAUUCUUUCUGCCCCUAUUUACGAAACUAUGGGAUCUCUUGGAUGAACACAGAUGUGCCGAAACCUUCACCUUUUCGUGGUACUACAAACAUUGAUUUUUGCUUAAGUCUCUGGCUUGAGUGGCACAGUCAAUGGCAAAGAAAGGUUUAAGGCUUGCUAUCUAUAACCGAGGUGACUGGUUUUUCUCUUAGAAGCCUAAGAGUUCUAAUCGGAAGAGGCUCCCUUCUAUAACGAAAAAGAGUAUUUCUUUUCUCAUUUGGUUCUCUUUAAUGGAAGUCAUCAAAUUGAAAUAUGGCCAGCGAUUUUAGAGAGGGCUGGGGCACAGUUGGGUGUGUGCUGUGUGAUGACAACCUUGGGAGCAUUAUUUCUUUGCGAAAGGAUAGUGAGUGAAUUGGCCUACCGGGACGUGUGGAAUGUCCAAAGGAAAGAGUGUACAGUAUGAGAGUACAAAAAAUUUGUAUAGCUGUAUAAGUUCUAGAGUGAACGAUAAACCAUUAAGUUAAAAGCUGUUCGCGGGGGUCAGGUUGCCCAAAAGUAGGAUUGCUUCUGGCAGGAAAAUGCACACUACCCAGCUGACUGCCGGAAAAAUGCCUUUUUGCCUGACUGCAUGGGUACGGACCUUCAAGGAGUAUUCGUGGUGGCUGUGGUUGCCUCAAAGGUUCGCGGGGAGCUAACUAAGACGUGCUUAGAUAGGUCUCGACGUAAACCAUUAAUCGAGCAAAUAAAGCACGUCCAUUUUCUAUUGCUUUACCUCAGGGUAGCAAGGCCCCCUUCAUUGGGGAUUGUCUUUCUUCAUGGGAGUCCACAAUCGACUGAAUUUGAUUGCCGAUGCUUGUAGGCAACCCGUCUGAUCAAGGCUUCACGUCGAAUACGGACGUUAAACUCCUACAGAAAUCUGUCCCUAUCUACUAUCUAGCGAAACCACAGCCAAGGGAACGGGCUUAGAAAAUUUAGCGCGGAAAGAAGGCCCUGUUGUGCUUGACUCUAAUCUGGCAGUGUAAGGAGACAUAAGAGGUGUAGAAUAAGUGGGAGAUAUUGUUCUUUCGGGUUUAUUAUCACCAAUGAAAUACCAGUACUCUUAUUGUUUCCGUACUUGAUUAAGUGGAACGUGUAUCAUUACUUCGCCAUUAUAUGGAUAUUGAUCAAAGUACUAAAGAGUUUCUUAAAUAAUUGUAAACAAAUUUUAAUGAGAUUGUUUGGCAUUUCUAUGCUUAUUCAAUCAAUAUUUAGAAUUUGGUGUAACUCCCAAUACUCAGGUAUGAUCCAAUUCAAUAGCAUUGCCAGUUAGGGAGUUUGCCUGGGGGAAAGCUGUUCCAAAGCUAGCUCAGAAACCAAACAUAGAGCAAAACGGCAAGAGCUGACUUGAUCUCGUUGUUCGGUACACACAGGGACACCAAAAGCUCGGCCUAUGAUUUAAGGAGUUUUUAAGAGUUUUUACCGCAGAGAUAAGUGGCUUGUGACGGCCAAGCAUUCAUAGCGACGACGCUUUGUGAUCCCUUCAUGUCGGCUCUUCCUAUCAUUGUGAACCAAAAUUCCCCAAAUGUUGCAUCACAGAUGCAAGGGAACGUGAGCUGGGUUUAGACUGUCGUGAGACAAGUUAGUUUUACCCUACUAAUGGAAAUAUAUUGUUACUACAGCAAUCCUGUGUAGUAUGGAAGGAACCGCAGUUAUGGACCAAAGGCACAAUACUUACUCGAGCGAACAGUGGUAUGACGCCACGUCCGUUAGAUUAUGCCUGAACGCCUUUUAUAGUCUUGUCCUGCUUUUUUCCACGCGUCAUUGAGAGUGCAUAGAAAGGACUGUCAAUGAAAUCCAAAAAUAUGAGCUUUUUACAAUAAUUGUAUUCGAAGUAUUUCUUAUACCUAUUAUUAAUUAUUAUUAUUAUUUCUUAAAUUUUUUUUUUUUCUUAUAAUGAACACGUACUUCUUCUUCUAAUCAAGACUUUAAAGAAUCUAACCUACAUUCCGUUGACAACUUAUUUGU